RNAcentral lists this unclassified non-coding RNA (208 nucleotides) under Hevea brasiliensis (rubber tree). Lineage: Eukaryota; Viridiplantae; Streptophyta; Magnoliopsida; Malpighiales; Euphorbiaceae. The record is from RNAcentral.
AAUCCAAUCUGGUUCUUUAAUAACGCCUUUUAUAGGAGUCACCAUUGAGUUCUGCCCACGAGAUAACGUUUUGGAUAUGGCUCUUCGCAGGACUCGAAUCAGUGACCUCUUCGUCGAUCUGGGUCUGAAAGGGAAACCCGCAUGAGAGAAGCUCCUCUGAAACUGAUCAGAACUGCCCCUUUCAAGAGGACCCGAGAACAACCCACGA